This 451-nucleotide ribosomal RNA is filed under the name uncultured Fibrobacter sp. Its description in RNAcentral is "bacterial SSU rRNA". It matches the Rfam family "Bacterial small subunit ribosomal RNA", at positions 341 to 792 of the family's 1533-position model. Lineage: Bacteria; Pseudomonadati; Fibrobacterota; Fibrobacteria; Fibrobacterales; Fibrobacteraceae. The record is from RNAcentral.
ACGGAAGGCAGCAGUGGGGAAUAUUGCACAAUGGGGGAAACCCUGAUGCAGCAACGCCACGUGUGGGAAGAAGCAUUUCGGUGUGUAAACCACUGUCGUGAGGGAAUAAUGUUGCGUUUCGGCGCAAUCGAAUGUACCUCGAAAGGAAGCACCGGCAAACUUCGUGCCAGCAGCCGCGGUAAUACGAGGGGUGCAAGCGUUGUACGGAAUCACUGGGCGUAAAGGGAGCGUAGGCGGAGGAGCAAGCAGUCUGUAAAAUCCCGGGGCCUAACCCCGGCUCUGCAGACUGGACUGUUUCUCUUGGAUAGUUCAGGGGCAGGCGGAAUUCCUGGUGUAGCGGUGGAAUGCGUAGAGAUCAGGAAGAACACCGAUGGCGAAGGCAGCCUGCUGGGGACUUAUCGACGCUGAGGCUCGAAAGUGCGGGUAGCAAACAGGAUUAGAUACCCUGGUA